RNAcentral lists this long non-coding RNA (345 nucleotides) under Mus musculus (house mouse). RNAcentral describes it as "expressed sequence AI506816". The record is from RNAcentral. Lineage: Eukaryota; Metazoa; Chordata; Mammalia; Rodentia; Muridae.
UUCCGCCGCGGCGCGCUCCUGAUGAGUGCUGUGUCCAGGAUGAUCAUGAAUUCAAGCUCUGGAGCUUGAGGUGAACUGGUCCGACUUCCAGAAGAGAAGGUCCCCCCCCCCCCCAGGAAAAGCCAGUGCAGUUACCUGACAGUGAGUAAACCCGGUGUUUCUCGUGGUUUCGUCAGAUCUACCAUCGCCUGCCAGCCUGUCCUGCUUUGACCCCGCAGACUGUCCCUGUCCCCUCUGAACAAAAGGAUGGGCUGUUUCACAGCAACCCUAUGGUUUGGUACAGUUGCUGCAGGUACUUAAAAUGGCUGCCUGAACUUAAACUGGGAGGGUAGCCAUUAGGAGAUA